RNAcentral lists this transfer RNA (68 nucleotides) under Amblyomma fimbriatum (goanna tick). RNAcentral's name for it is "tRNA-Lys". The record is from RNAcentral. Lineage: Eukaryota; Metazoa; Arthropoda; Arachnida; Ixodida; Ixodidae.
CAUUGAAUGGCUGAAAUAAUAAGCAAUGGUCUCUUAAACCAAAUCAUAGUUAAAAUAACUUUCAAUGG